UGGAGAUUCUGCUGAUUACACUCACCAGCUACAUAAGACCCAGGCAGACAUUUACUCAAGGCCAGUUUGUUAUGUGAAGAAUCUACUCCACAUCCUUGGUCCCAUUCAUUGUAUUCUCUUUCUACUCAUCAGAUUAUUGUAAUCCUACAAGCUUCAACUACCUCUACCACACCACUCAGCCUGGGUCGUUCUACCGCCGACUCUCCAGAACAACACUCAAGCCCAGCAUUCAGCUAAAUUACUCUCCAGCUGUCCUCCAUCAUUCAGUAAUGCCUCCCAACCUAGAUCGCUCUACCACGGCUACCGCAAACGAUGCUCAACCCCAUCUCACUUGGGGUGGCUGUGGCUCAUGAGAGAUGGUGCCCUGUCCUCCACCUCAAUGGCUGAGUUUCCCUGGCCUGUGAGACAGGAUCCCUGUCUGCUCAGCUCUCCAGGUUCCAGUGGGCCUCUCAGACACCACAGUCCAGAGACGCAGCACCACAAGAUUCAAACCCCACUUAUCCUCUGUCUAUAAUAAAACUACCGUUUACUUG
Monopterus albus (swamp eel) is the source of this 533-nucleotide long non-coding RNA. RefSeq lists it as uncharacterized. NCBI's taxonomy places the organism in Eukaryota, Metazoa, Chordata, Actinopteri, Synbranchiformes, Synbranchidae. The transcript has 3 exons. The record is from RefSeq and is a predicted model, not a curated record.